UUGGAUACAUUAUUGUGUUGGUCAGGAUUAUGAUUUAGAUCAAACGUUGCAACAUGAGGUCACAUCUCUAUUACGGGUAUUCCAGAAAUGGAAAUUGCUACAAAUUGGUGAAGAAUUAUAUGUCUAAAAGGUAGACGUAAAUUACGAAACCUCUUGAAGAAGAAAAAUGCACUUUAUCAUUUGAUAAGUGCAAGACCUGUUCAAAAUAUGCAGUAACUUGAGUCUUGUAACAUGUCCGAAGGUAUGUUAAAGGCAAAUAUGAUGAUAACUUCAAUUACCAGCUGUACAAGGUAAUUCCAAUUGUGCACCAUUUUAGCAGCAGCAGGUGUUCAUCGUAGACAUCACCUAAAUUAAUAUAUUAGAAAAAACUUUAUUCCUACUCAUGGUUUGUACAACUUCUACAAUUAGAAGGCCAGAAACAAACGAGAUGAGAUAAUAAAUGUG
Molecule: long non-coding RNA, 444 nt
Filed under: Phaseolus vulgaris (common bean)
Lineage: Eukaryota; Viridiplantae; Streptophyta; Magnoliopsida; Fabales; Fabaceae
Description: long non-coding RNA (PVUL_LNC004088)
Source: RNAcentral